UACGGAGGGUGCAAGCGUUGUCCGGAAUCACUGGGCGUAAAGGGCGCGUAGGCGGCCUGGUAAGCGUGCGGUGAAAGCCCGGGGCUCAACCCCGGGUCUGCCGUGCGAACUGCUGGGCUUGAGCACUGUAGAGGCAGGUGGAAUUCCGGGUGUAGCGGUGGAAUGCGUAGAGAUCCGGAGGAACAUCGGUGGCGAAGGCGGCCUGCUGGGCAGUGGCUGACGCUGAGGCGCGACAGCGUGGGGAGCAAACAGG
This 253-nucleotide ribosomal RNA is filed under the name uncultured bacterium. RNAcentral describes it as "partial 16S ribosomal RNA". It matches the Rfam family "Bacterial small subunit ribosomal RNA", at positions 524 to 776 of the family's 1533-position model. The record is from RNAcentral.